This is a long non-coding RNA of Vitis riparia (riverbank grape), 346 nucleotides long. RefSeq lists it as uncharacterized. The transcript is spliced from 2 exons. NCBI's taxonomy places the organism in Eukaryota, Viridiplantae, Streptophyta, Magnoliopsida, Vitales, Vitaceae. The record is from RefSeq and is a predicted model, not a curated record.
UAUGCGAUCAGCAAAGCGGGAUGUCAUAUUCAGUGCCAUGCAUACCAGACAAAACCUUGGUGGUUAAAUUUAGUUCUAUGCCAUGCUAAGAAUGGUGUGCCAUCACUAGGAAUAUGGGAACCCUAGGCGUGCAAAUGUUUUAGGGACUCUUUGGGAGCAGGUAGGACAAAGAAUAAAAUUAUGGGUCGCCAAGCCUUCUAGGGUUUGUUUCAAGAACCAUGGAAGACUCUAACUUUGUAUGAAAUUUUCUCCAUGGUAGGAGUACUUAAGAUCUGUUGGCAUAAAUGCUUUUGUUUCUAAUGAAUUAUAUUAGAAGAACUCCGAUCAAAUGAAGUCCAAUUAAGCA